CACAUAAUCAGCACUCAGUACAUAUAUGUUCAAUGGUGAAAAGAUGAAUAUGUUUGAGUCUAAGUUUGAGGCAGGGACAUCUCAAGUAAGAGCCUAAAAGUGUAGAGGAAAAAUUAUUUUUAUUCUCCUACAAUUUCAAAAUCGGCGUUUGUUGACUUGUCAUCUUGCUACUGGAAUAAUUAGUGUCUAUGUCUCAUGAAUUUCCCCACAGUGGUUUAUCACCGAAGGAAAAUCCACAGGCUUUUACCAGUGUUAAGAAGAAUGGUUUCCCAAAGAUGUUUGUUCAUACCCUAGUUUCUAAACCUGUGAACAUGAUGUAUUACAUGGAAAAAGUCACUUCAUACAUUUAAUUAUGGUUAUGGAUCUAGAUUAUCAGGUUGGGCCUACUCUAGUCAUAUGAAUCCCUAAAAGCAGAAAAUUUUCUCUGUGAUCAGAGGAAUGAAACAGAAGAGGCAAGAAAAGUGAUAAAAGGGAAAUUGGAGAGAUUACUAGCAUAGGAAAGUCUGAAGUGCCAUUGGUUCAAAGAUUUAGGGGCGCAUAUGCAAGGACUGGGGCAAGUCUCUAGGAAAUAAGGGUGGCCUCCCACAGACAGCAAAGUCAUGUGUCCCUCAGUCCUUAGCCACAGGAAAAGCAUCCUGACCAAACUCUGAAUGCAUUUGGAUAUAGAUUCUUCCCCAGUGCCUCCAGUUAAGAAUACAAUUCUGCUAACUUUGACUUCAGCUUAG
Long non-coding RNA from Canis lupus familiaris (dog), 725 nucleotides. RefSeq lists it as uncharacterized. The transcript is spliced from 4 exons. The record is from RefSeq and is a predicted model, not a curated record. NCBI's taxonomy places the organism in Eukaryota, Metazoa, Chordata, Mammalia, Carnivora, Canidae.